UAAGUUUGAUGGCGACCGGCGCACGGGUGAGUAACACGUAUCCAACCUGCCGAUGACUCGGGGAUAGCCUUUCGAAAGAAAGAUUAAUACCCGAUGGCAUAGUUCUUCCGCAUGGUAGAACUAUUAAAGAAUUUCGGUCAUCGACGGGGAUGCGUUCCAUUAGGUUGUUGGCGGGGUAACGGCCCACCAAGCCUUCGAUGGAUAGGGGUUCUGAGAGGAAGGUCCCCCACAUUGGAACUGAGACACGGUCCAAACUCCUACGGGAGGCAGCAUG
Molecule: ribosomal RNA, 274 nt
Filed under: uncultured bacterium
Lineage: Bacteria
Description: partial 16S ribosomal RNA
Rfam family: Bacterial small subunit ribosomal RNA
Source: RNAcentral